AUGAGAGAAGAGAAGAAUGGGGCAUCGACGGCGAGGUCCUGGUCAAGGUCCAGCAAGAGCCCGUCGGAGCUUCGGUUGGUGGCGAGGUACGCAUGGCGAAGGAGCGGUUCCCGGUGGCCGCUUGAGCAUCCGGCGGCCAUGGAGCUGUUACAGAGAACAAAGGAGAGGGAUGAGACAUACGGGAGGAGCUCCGGAAGGAAAAGAAGAUGGCACCGGGUGGAUCCGGGCGGUGGCUCAUCGGAGGGUCGCCGGGGCUCCGUUUUGCGACGAGGUUGCGCGGGUGAGAGGCGGCAGCGGUGGGGUCGAGGUCAGGCCAUGGCUUCCCUGGCUCCUAAAGGUCUCAUGUGCAUGAGAGAGAGGGAGAAAACACGCUCAGAGAAGAGCAGAAACAGGGGAAGGAAGAGAAAGGAAAACAAGGGGCUCGACGAGCAGUUCCUGCUAGUGCUCGGCGUCAAGGGAGGUCCGGAGGAGGAUGAAUGGGAGCGCGAGGGUGCAGCUGCUGCUACCGGCAGCCUCACUGGUUGGAUCGAUGGAGGAGAAUCAGGAGGAGAGGUGGAGGCUGCUAGUUGGGUGGAUGGGCAAAACGAGGUGGAUCUGGCAAAUGGGUGGAUGGAUUUGAUGGGUGGCGGCUGCGGCUGA
RNAcentral lists this ribosomal RNA (639 nucleotides) under Triticum aestivum (bread wheat). Its description in RNAcentral is "partial small subunit ribosomal RNA". Lineage: Eukaryota; Viridiplantae; Streptophyta; Magnoliopsida; Poales; Poaceae. The record is from RNAcentral.